GACGGACGCUGGCGGCGUGCUUAACACAUGCAAGUCGAGCGGUAAGGCCCUUUCGGGGUACGACGAGCGGCGAACGGGUGAGUAACACGUGGGUGACCUGCCCUCAGCUCUGGGAUAAGCCUGGGAAACCGGGUCUAAUACUGGAUAUGACUCCAUGACGCAUGUUGUGGGGUGGAAAGCCUUGUGCGGCUGAGGAUGGGCCCGCGGCCUAUCAGCUUGUUGGUGGGGUGANGGCCUACCAAGGCGACGACGGGUAGCCGGCCUGAGAGGGCGACCGGCCACACUGGGACUGAGACACGGCCCAGACUCCUACGGGAGGCAGCAGUGGGGAAUCUUGCGCAAUGGGCGAAAGCCUGACGCAGCGACGCCGCGUGA
This 375-nucleotide ribosomal RNA is filed under the name uncultured bacterium. RNAcentral describes it as "bacterial SSU rRNA". It matches the Rfam family "Bacterial small subunit ribosomal RNA", at positions 28 to 404 of the family's 1533-position model. The record is from RNAcentral.